CUAAUUGUCGAGGUCCUCUUCCAGGAUUGGCUGUCCCUUCGUAACCAUAAGAUAAUUAAAACGGGGGGGGGGCAAAGUUAAAAAAAAACCUUUUUUUUAAUCAUCCAGAGGCUAAUGCAAGUGUUAAACAGAUGCUUCACUAUUAAAAUAUUUCUCCCCAAGUCUCAAAUAUUGAAGAACGUUAAACCAGGGACAUCAGCCUCAACGGAGACUUUGGGGGUAUUCCACAGCGCAGGCACCUCGAUUCCUCCAAUCUUUGGUGUGGUCGGAUCUGUGUUCUCCUGAUUUAACUAGCCUGGUUGAAGGCGCAGUUCAGUCUUAGGAAAGUCUUCCCUUGCUCAGUCUACAUCUGCCUGUGACUUGAGAAUGAAACUUCACUCUGGCCAAGGCACAGCUCAGUUCACAUCCUCCUGGAGAAGCACGGUAAUGUUUGGACCUCUGCUGCCUGGAGAGCCGACCAUCCCGACAGCUAUGGGUGCCAGCCUGGCCAGUUGUAUCCUCCCGCGACGUCCAUUCAGGGGCGUCUUCUGGGGCCCCUUCUCCACGCAGCCUCGGUCCCUCCAGCCCUGCAAAAGUACGGCACCCUGGGGAUCUCCGGAGGCUCGGCCCUUGCAGGACGGUGGGCUCUGGGCCACGCAUAGUGCCACCGAAGCUUUGGGAGUACGAGGCACCACCCCAGGUUAAAACCUGCACUCCACCACCCUUGUCAUCCUGCUUCAAUUCUCAUUGUAAUCCCCAACCCUGCCGGAUCCCAGCACCCAGCAGACAGUUUUCGGGCGAGCAAGCUAUGGGAGGUCGCGGCUCCGGGAGGGGUGGAGCCUCAGUUUCUCCUGUGAGGCGCGGGUGGGCGGGAAGGAGUUAAACGCACCCCUCUCUCAUCCUCCCAGUCCAGCCCCUGCUCGGGGCGAAGGCCCCGCCGGUUCCCUCUUGAGGUCUCAUUAGGGAAACCCUCGCCGCUAUUUUCAACGUUUCCUCAAUCAAGUGUCUUUAAAUAGAGCUGCACAAACAAAUUGGCGGCAAAAGCGUAGAUCGUGUCACCACGGAGACCAAUCCAAUAUUUCAGCUUUGUUUGCUUUGCAAUUACGGGCUGGCUUGUGGCUGCGGUGCCACCCGGGCAAGUCCGUCAGGGUGCGCUUUCUGCUCCGCACCGGGCUGCAGGCAGCGACCGCGGAGCCGCGCGGCCGAGGGGAGGCGACGGUGCGGGCGAGGGGCCUCGUCCAGAUCCCCCUGCGAGACACUCCCCAGUUCCUGCCGGAGCCACUGAGGCACACGCGACAAUAAAGAGCGUAAUUCACCUUCGGGAAUCGUGUUGUGUCCUUACCAGCUUCCUCUGUGCCCCGCCCUCCCUGCCCCUCUUCAGUCUUGGGCACAUUUUAUGCAGCGUGUGUUAGCGGUUACUGCGUUUCCCCUUCUCCCUUGGUGUUAAACUGCUAGCAUGAUUUGUUAUAUUUUCCAUAGCUGCUGAUGCUUGUUUGACUUUUUGUACAAAGUCUCUUUAAAUCUGCUACAGAAAUUAAGCCCAAGUCCUGUGGACGGGUUCCUGCAGGGGUUGGGGCCGCCUCCAGCCUCCUCGAGUUCUUUCCGGGCAGCUUGUCUGUGGAAAGCCCCUGGUGCCCUGGUCACCGCCCUGGCGAGCCUAGGCUGUAUCAGCAGAACAGUAGUUAACUCCAAUCAGGUCCUAAGCCUUAUAUUUCACAGACAAUUAAAUCUUGGCCGCCGUUGAACAAAAUUGUAAUAUUUACUCUGCUCUGUUCCGAGGAGCACUUUUAAAGUAAAAAGCAAAUUACAUUUCAAAAAGCAACUAUCAUAAUAAAUCUCUUUUUAUGGAUUUUGUCUGCAUAAGUGGAAGCAACAUGAUUUAAAUCUUGAACAACUCCCCUCUCAUUUUCAAAACUGAAGUUGUGAGACACUGUCCUUCAAUAAGGUCUCUGUCUUUUGGGGGAGACACCCACAUUGUUGCAUUUGUUUAAGGUCCAGUGUUUUACCCCAAGCUCUGGCCCAUAUAGUAUGUAACAAGGAUGAUUAAAUAAUAAGCACUUAGAGAUGAAGUCUCCUUUUUACACGGACUCAAGAAAGACGGGUGCGACUUGGGUAAUUAUUUUGUGAGUUCAUAUUACUUUCUAAAUGAAAACCCAUGUUCUUCUCAUGUCUACUUCUGAAGGAGGUAGACAGAUAAAUAUUUUGGUGAGAAAAACUAUGGAGUGCAUGUUAAGAUGUACUUCUUUAUUCUUUAAGAACUGUAAGGAACAGAUCUACCUUCGUUCAUAGUCAUACAUGCAAUUUCCAGCCAUUCUGGCCAAUAAAUAAUUGCUUUCUUGCCUAA
Octodon degus (degu) is the source of this 2323-nucleotide long non-coding RNA. RefSeq lists it as uncharacterized. The record is from RefSeq and is a predicted model, not a curated record. NCBI's taxonomy places the organism in Eukaryota, Metazoa, Chordata, Mammalia, Rodentia, Octodontidae. The transcript has 4 exons.